RNAcentral lists this small RNA (927 nucleotides) under Pongo abelii (Sumatran orangutan). RNAcentral's name for it is "retained intron". Lineage: Eukaryota; Metazoa; Chordata; Mammalia; Primates; Hominidae. The record is from RNAcentral.
GUGCGCAGGCGCGCCGACCGCCGAGUUUUCUGCGCUUCCUUCUCCCUCUCUCCAGCCGUCGUGGUCGUUCGGUCCUAUGUCGCGCCGGGCCCUCCGGAGGCUGAGGGGGGAACAGCGUGGCCAGGAGCCCCUCGGGCCCGGCGCCCUGCAGUUCGAUCUCCGUGAUGACGAUGACGCGGAAGAAGAAGAGCCCAAGCGGGAGCUUGGUGUCUGGCGCCCCGGGGGCGCACGGAAGGAGGGCGUCCGAGUCAACAACCGCUUCGAGUUGAUAAACAUUGACGAUCUUGAGGAUGACCCUGUGGUGAAUGGGGAGAGGUCUGGCUGUGCGCUCACAGAUGCUGCGGCACCAGGGAACAAAGGAAGGGCUCAGCGUGGAAACACAGAGAGCAAGACGGAUGGAGAUGUCGCCGAGACAGCACCCCCAGAGCAGGUGGGGGGCUGAGUGGUGAGGAGGUGGCAUCAGACGGGAGAGUUCCAAGGCACCCAGCCACAUGUAUCCUGUGCUGUGAUUUUCCUUGGAGGUGUAAUUUUCUGAGUUCAAUUUUGGUUAACUGCUAGUUGCCCCCAAAUUUACUUGGGAACCUUGAUGAGAUUUGCUUGAAAUGAGUAAAGGUCGCAGGCUUGUCUCCUGCAUUUCAGGAGAGUGUGCGCCUGCCCAGCAGUGUGUGUAACCACACACGUGUGUUCUUCCUAACUAACCACACACUUGUGUUCUUCCUAACUGUGCUCCGAACGUUCGCUUGGCUGGGUUGUGGGUCUGGGUGCUGGUGUAAGUGAACUUUGAAGAAACAUGCAGGUCAGGUUAACGUGGGAUGGGCAGAGAUGCAGACAGCCUGCUUCUGUGCUGCACAGCACAGAAGAGGGGCCCUAAAAGGAGAGCUUGUGUUCAUUUAUCCAACAACUGUUCUUGGGAGCUUGCUGGGUGCU